ACAUAUCAAUAAGCGGAGGAAAAGAAACCAACAGGGAUUGCCCUAGUAACGGCGAGUGAAGCGGCAACAGCUCAAAUUUGAAAUCUGGCUCUUUCAGAGUCCGAGUUGUAAUUUGCAGAGGGCGCUUUGGCUUUGGCAGCGGUCCAAGUUCCUUGGAACAGGACGUCACAGAGGGUGAGAAUCCCGUACGUGGUCGCUAGCUAUUGCCGUGUAAAGCCCCUUCGACGAGUCGAGUUGUUUGGGAAUGCAGCUCUAAAUGGGAGGUAAAUUUCUUCUAAAGCUAAAUAUUGGCCAGAGACCGAUAGCGCACAAGUAGAGUGAUCGAAAGAUGAAAAGCACUUUGGAAAGAGAGUCAAACAGCACGUGAAAUUGUUGAAAGGGAAGCGCUUGCAGCCAGACUUGCUUGCAGUUGCUCAUCCGGGCUUUUGCCCGGUGCACUCUUCUGUAGGCAGGCCAGCAUCAGUUUGGGCGGUGGGAUAAAGGUCUCUGUCACGUACCUCUCUUCGGGGAGGCCUUAUAGGGGAGACGACAUACCACCAGCCUAGACUGAGGUCCGCGCAUCUGCUAGGAUGCUGGCGUAAUGGCUGUAAGCGGCCCGUCUUGAAACACGGACCAAGGAGUCUAACAUCUAUGCGAGUGUUUGGGUGUCAAGCCCGAGCGCGUAAUGAAAGUGAACGGAGGUGGGAACCCGCAAGGGUGCACCAUCGACCGAUCCUGAAGUUUACGGAAGGAUUUGAGUAAGAGCAUGGCUGUUGGGACCCGAAAGAUGGUGAACUAUGCUUGAAUAGGGUGAAGCCAGAGGAAACUCUGGUGGAGGCUCGCAGCGGUUCUGACGUGCAAAUCGAUCGUCAAAUUUGGGCAUAGGGGCGAAAGACUAAUCGAACUAUCUAGUAGCUGGUUCCUGCGA
RNAcentral lists this ribosomal RNA (907 nucleotides) under Helminthosporium anomalum. RNAcentral describes it as "LSU rRNA". It matches the Rfam family "Eukaryotic large subunit ribosomal RNA", at positions 38 to 963 of the family's 3401-position model. The record is from RNAcentral. Lineage: Eukaryota; Fungi; Ascomycota; Dothideomycetes; Pleosporales; Massarinaceae.